GGCGAUGCAGUGUUACGAGAAUCACUACCACCGUGUGUGUGAGGCGGCUCAUCGUGCCACAGAGAUCACCACGUGUCAUCAGAACGAGGCGCGCCGGGCGCACCUUCAGGUGCUCCGAGCGUCUGCGAUGCUGCAGUCCCGCGUGGAGUCCGCCUGGCGACGGGUGGUCAAACAGAUGGCCGACCAGGGCGCGCCCUGGGCGCCGCCGCAGGCACAGCACAGUUUCUGGGAGCUGGACCCGACCGAGGGCUACCUGAGGCAGCGGAACCGGCUGAGAAAGACCCGGCUCAACCUGGCCGCACGCUUCUUCCAGCCGACCGCGGCCAAGUGUGUCG
Molecule: long non-coding RNA, 335 nt
Organism: Amphibalanus amphitrite
Lineage: Eukaryota; Metazoa; Arthropoda; Thecostraca; Balanomorpha; Balanidae
Exons: 3
Source: RefSeq, a predicted model, not a curated record